This is a long non-coding RNA of Mangifera indica (mango), 556 nucleotides long. RefSeq lists it as uncharacterized. The record is from RefSeq and is a predicted model, not a curated record. NCBI's taxonomy places the organism in Eukaryota, Viridiplantae, Streptophyta, Magnoliopsida, Sapindales, Anacardiaceae. The transcript is spliced from 2 exons.
CAGUACAACAUGAUUCAGAAGGUCUCUGUAACUAAUAAUGAAAAGGAAGAAGAAGAGAGGUGGCAGCGGCCCAGCCAGGGCAAAGCAAAGGCCAGUGCAUGCCAAGGCAAGAAAGAGAGAAGGGUUGAGUCUUCUACAGUUUUCUCUUAAUAAUUUUGACCCAUCCAGCUGUAUUGAAAUGAUAUGUACGAAAUUGUUGAAAAGGUCUCAUCUCCUUCCUCAAUUUGAAAGCCCAGAAAUUCUAUAUUUUGCUGCCCUAAAUCUACACCUCAGCCUGCUUCUAGAUUCGCAGUGUUUUUCGCUUGCAGAAUUAAAGGCUAAAAGCGGAUCAAGAUUGAAGAAGAAGCUCUAUUCAUCGAUACAGGAGAUGGAAAUCAAGUAAUGGAAAACUUGAAUUCAAGCUUCAACCGAACGUGUUAAGGAUUGAGUUUUUUCCAUAAACAAAUCAAGUUUAAACGAUCCCAAUAUUCAAGUCUAAGUUAGAAUUUGUUUGAAUUUGAUUUAGAUCGAGUUCAAACCCUAAGUUAUAUGUGAUGGUAUGGAUCUGUAUUUGGAA